RNAcentral lists this long non-coding RNA (483 nucleotides) under Mus musculus (house mouse). RNAcentral's name for it is "long non-coding RNA chr14:56946779-56947262". The record is from RNAcentral. Lineage: Eukaryota; Metazoa; Chordata; Mammalia; Rodentia; Muridae.
UUCUUUUGUUUUUUAUUUAAAAAGAAAAAAAAAAAAGAAAAAAGAAAGCUGAAUUAAUUUCAGGAACUUUAGAAACUAGAGAAAAAUACAAUACUUGUAUUUUUUCAAUUGAGAGGUAUUGAUAAUAUUAGGGUAGAGGUAGGGAUCAUGAUAGGGUUUUGCUAUAGUCCAGGCUGGCCCCCAGCUCAAAGCACUCCUUUCAGCCUCUGCUGCUGGGAUUAUAGGUGUGUGUCAAAUGUGUAGCUUGGAAGCAUUUUUCUUAAUGUUCUUGAAAGUUAAAUUCACAUUUAAAGGGAAAAAGUAGAUUUACUUCUUUAAAAGACAUAUGCCCUGGGUUGAAGAGAUGGCUCAGCAGCUAAGAGUCCUGACUACUUUUCCAGAGGUCCUGAGUUCUCAGCAACCACAUGGUGGCUUACAACCAUCUGUAGUAGUAUCUCAUGUCCUCUUCUGGUGUGUCUGAAGACAGUGACAGUAUACUCAUAU